GUGAAGAUGUGGAUUCUAGAACGUCACCUUUAAACUUGUGAAUAAGUAUCUAAACACCAGCAGAAUGAUUUGAUCCAUGACUGAAAUAGGCCUUAUCUUCCCAUAUAAGAUGGGAGGACCGGAAACCCAGUGACAACACUCAGGUCUGGCCCUGUAUUUACUAGAAAACGUAGCUCAUCCACCAUGGCAGAAGAGGAAGAUCCAGACUGUUGAUUGGGGAAACAAGAACAGACAAUGAAAGUUGAGUGUUGAGGGACCACUUGUCACAUUGUCCAAGAUGGGUUUGUGUUAUGAUGAUGUAUUUUCUGUCCAGAUUGGUACAGCAUUGAAAAAGACCCACCACUGACUAAAUGUCUAUUUGUUUUUCAGUCCAACAGGAGUGCAUCCCUCAGGCCAUCCGGUGCAUGGACAUCCUGUGCCAGUGUGAUCUGAGCGCACACGUCCAGUUGUAGAGCCUAGCAGAUCGAGCCUGUGGAUGGGCAGACAUGAGGCGUGACAUGCUCAACAUCAGGCUCACCCCACGAGAAGCUGUGCAUGAUUAAUUCCACCCUCAGCAAGGAGAUCUGAGGGUACUCUCACU
Salmo salar (Atlantic salmon) is the source of this 580-nucleotide long non-coding RNA. RefSeq lists it as uncharacterized. The record is from RefSeq and is a predicted model, not a curated record. Lineage: Eukaryota; Metazoa; Chordata; Actinopteri; Salmoniformes; Salmonidae.